Molecule: ribosomal RNA, 232 nt
Filed under: Bacillus mojavensis
Lineage: Bacteria; Bacillati; Bacillota; Bacilli; Caryophanales; Bacillaceae
Description: partial 16S ribosomal RNA
Rfam family: Bacterial small subunit ribosomal RNA
Source: RNAcentral
UGGGCGUAAGGGCUCGCAGGCGGUUCCUUAAGUCUGAUGUGAAAGCCCCCGGCUCAACCGGGGAGGGUCAUUGGAAACUGGGGAACUUGAGUGCAGAAGAGGAGAGUGGAAUUCCACGUGUAGCGGUGAAAUGCGUAGAGAUGUGGAGGAACACCAGUGGCGAAGGCGACUCUCUGGUCUGUAACUGACGCUGAGGAGCGAAAGCGUGGGGAGCGAACAGGAUUAGAUACCC